GGGUGGGUGGGUGGGUGGAAGAAAGCUGCAGUCUUUUUGGCUGGGUGAGAGAACACAGCCAGCCCGAGUACUGCAGACAACUCAUUUCCCAUCCUGUGGAGGCUUUCUUUCAGUAAGAUUUGACAAUGGAAGCUCACUUCUCUCUCUCUCUCUCUCUCUCUCUCUCUCUCUCCUCUUCUUCUUUUUCUUUUCUUUAGAUAAGAUAGUUAAUAAUGUAAUGUUUUGUGCUUUUUAGGUGGACAUAAUUCCACUUUAUCUGCUUUUGCUAGCUAGCUCAUGAUUCCAUCUGCAUGAAUGAUUUCUUUGUGCAUAUCUUUCAGGUAAUCAAUCCCUUUUUUUUAUCAAAAGUGGAGAGCCUUUAGCUGAUGCCCUUAAUCUCUAUCUAUCAUCCGUCGACAAUAAACUAUGUGAGAACUCUCUCACGCAGGCCAUUCUUCUCGAGGCCUGCGUCAAGAUCUCAAAGUCCAUCCCCCGGGAGGAAUUAGACAGACUUAUUUUGAUCCUACUUACAUGAAAAUCCAGGACGAGGGUGUUGGUGAGGAGUCGUUUUCUGUAAUGCAUUUGGUAGC
This 569-nucleotide long non-coding RNA is filed under the name Musa acuminata (dwarf banana). RNAcentral describes it as "long non-coding RNA (MACU_LNC005846)". The record is from RNAcentral. Lineage: Eukaryota; Viridiplantae; Streptophyta; Magnoliopsida; Zingiberales; Musaceae.